GGGGACGUAAAGGUUUCGACGGGGACUCUGAAGCAGGGUAAGCGGGCAGAGCCGGGACAAUCUCUUUAAACUGUUCCAACCUAAAUUUAAACGCUAACACUGAAUUAGCUGCUGCCUGAACGGCAGUGACGCGGACUUAAGCUCCGCCCGUUCAUCCGGAGAGUACUGCGGCUCCGGAAUGAGCGUCAUCAAGCAGUGAACGUGCGCGGUCAGUUCGUCCUUAUAGCCGCCACGGAUGAAAGGGCUGCUCCGGAAAAGCUUCGCCGGCUUGGCGACUCCGGGGGAGAUCAGUAAGCCGGAUACGCCCGAAGAAAGCCCCGCGGAUCGGUUUUCGGACGCGGGUUCGAUUCCCGCCGUCUCCACCA
The sequence is a non-coding RNA, 365 nucleotides long. It matches the Rfam family "transfer-messenger RNA". Rfam says of the family: Bacterial tmRNA, also known as 10Sa RNA or SsrA, is named for its dual tRNA and mRNA-like properties. Its role is to liberate the mRNA from a stalled ribosome. The record is from Rfam.